ACUCCCACGGGAGGCAGCAGUGGGGAAUAUUGCACAAUGGGCGCAAGCCUGAUGCAGCCAUGCCGCGUGUAUGAAGAAGGCCUUCGGGUUGUAAAGUACUUUCAGCAGUGAGGAAGGCGGAGUCGUUAAUAGCGGCCUCGUUUGACGUUAGCUGCAGAAGAAAGCACCGGCUAACUCCGUGCCAGCAGCCGCGGUAAUACGGAGGGUGCGAGCGUUAAUCGGAAUUACUGGGCGUAAAGCGCAUGCAGGUGGUUUGUUAAGUCAGAUGUGAAAGCCCGGGGCUCAACCUCGGAAUUGCAUUUGAAACUGGCAGACUAGAGUACUGUAGAGGGGGGUAGAAUUUCAGGUGUAGCGGUGAAAUGCGUAGAGAUCUGAAGGAAUACCGGUGGCGAAGGCGGCCCCCUGGACAGAUACUGACACUCAGAUGCGAAAGCGUGGGGAGCAAACAGGAUUAGAUA
This 458-nucleotide ribosomal RNA is filed under the name uncultured bacterium. RNAcentral's name for it is "bacterial SSU rRNA". It matches the Rfam family "Bacterial small subunit ribosomal RNA", at positions 335 to 784 of the family's 1533-position model. The record is from RNAcentral.